GGUAAGCGAUGGGGUGACGCAGGAAGGUAGUCCAGCCCAGGCGAUGGUUGUCCUGGGGUAAGCAUGUAGGGCGUGUCGUAGGUAAAUCCGCGGCAUUUAAGCCUGAGAUGUGAUGCCGAGCCGAUUGUGGUGAAGUGGAUGAUCCUAUGCUGCCGAGAAAAGCCUCUAGUGAGUGUUGUGGCGGCCCGUACCCUAAACCGACUCAGGUGGUCAGGUAGAGAAUACCAAGGCGAUCGGGUGAACUGUGGUUAAGGAACUCGGCAAAUUGCCCCCGUAACUUCGGGAGAAGGGGGACCUCUGUUGGUGAUGGGCUUUACGCCUGGAGCUGGUGGGGGUCGCAGUGGCCAGGGGGAAGCGACUGUUUACUAAAAACACAGGUCCGUGCGAAGUCGUAAGACGAUGUAUACGGACUGACGCCUGCCCGGUGCCGGAACGUUAAGGGGACCGCUUAGCUGACGUGAGUUGGCGAAGGUGAGAACUUAAGCGCCGGUAAACGGCGGUGGUAACUAUAACCAUCCUAAGGUAGCGAAAUUCCUUGUCGGGUAAGUUCCGACCUGCACGAAUGGCGUAACGACUUCCCCGCUGUCUCAACCGCAGACCCGGCGAAAUUGCACUACGAGUAAAGAUGCUCGUUUCGCGCAGCAGGACGGAAAGACCCCGGGACCUUCACUACAGCUUGACAUUGGCGUUUGGAACGUCUUGUGUAGGAUAGGUGGGAGACUGGGAAGCUGUCACGCUAGUGAUGGUGGAGUCAUUGGUGAAAUACCACUCUGGUCGUUUUGAACGUCUAACUCUGGUCCGUGAUCCGGAUCGGGGACAGUGUCUGGUGGGUAGUUUAACUGGGGCGGUUGCCUCCUAAAGAGUAACGGAGGCGCCCAAAGGUUCCCUCAGCCUGGUUGGCAAUCAGGUGUUGAGUGUAAGUGCACAAGGGAGCUUGACUGUGAGACUGACAGGUCGAGCAGGAGCGAAAGCUGGGACUAGUGAUCCGGCAUCGGCGUGUGGAAGCGGUGUCGCUCAACGGCUAAAAGGUACCCCGGGGAUAACAGGCUGAUCUUCCCCAAGAGUCCAUAUCGACGGGAUGGUUUGGCACCUCGAUGUCGGCUCGUCGCAUCCUGGGGCUGGAGUAGGUCCCAAGGGUUGGGCUGUUCGCCCAUUAAAGCGGUACGCGAGCUGGGUUUAGAACGUCGCGAGACAGUUCGGUCCCUAUCCGCUGCGCGCGCAGGAGACUUGAAGGGGGCUGUCCCUAGUACGAGAGGACCGGGACGGACGAACCUCUGGUGUGCCAGUUGUACCGCCAGGUGCACGGCUGGUUGGCUACGUUCGGAAGGGAUAACCGCUGAAAGCAUCUAAGCGGGAAGCUCGCCUUGAGAUGAGGUCUCCCACCACGAGAGUGGGUAAGGCUCCCGGUAGACGACCGGGUUGAUAGGCCGGAGGUGGAAGCACGGUAACGUGUGGAGCUGACCGGUACUAAUAGGCCGAGGACUUGAUCAA
RNAcentral lists this ribosomal RNA (1491 nucleotides) under metagenome. Its description in RNAcentral is "bacterial LSU rRNA". It matches the Rfam family "Bacterial large subunit ribosomal RNA", at positions 1456 to 2925 of the family's 2925-position model. The record is from RNAcentral.